GAACUUUGAAGACUCCCAGUGGUAAAUGGAAGGCCAAAAAUGAGCAAACCUGAGAGCUGCGGUAACUCCUUGAUGGUAGCACUAAAAUGUCAGCCAUGGGAAAAUCUGUGGUCAAGAUUGUACACCUCCAUGGAAAUGGGCCUCAGUUGGACCUUGUGCAUCCUUUACAUCAUGUUCCCCCAAAAAGGGUGGUGGUGGCUGUCACACACAGAAACUCCUGAUUCUUGAUCCAGAAGACUUCUGUUGCCAAAGGGAAAUUACAUCCAAGAGUCCUCAUCCAGCAGCUGAUGGAAGCAAAGGCAGAC
RNAcentral lists this long non-coding RNA (305 nucleotides) under Cricetulus griseus (Chinese hamster). RNAcentral describes it as "lncRNA (ENSCGRG00015037750.1)". The record is from RNAcentral. Lineage: Eukaryota; Metazoa; Chordata; Mammalia; Rodentia; Cricetidae.